This 253-nucleotide ribosomal RNA is filed under the name uncultured bacterium. Its description in RNAcentral is "partial 16S ribosomal RNA". It matches the Rfam family "Bacterial small subunit ribosomal RNA", at positions 524 to 776 of the family's 1533-position model. The record is from RNAcentral.
UACGGGGGGGGCAAGCGUUGUUCGGAAUUACUGGGCGUAAAGGGCUCGUAGGCGGCUAACUAAGUCAGACGUGAAAUCCCUCGGCUUAACCGGGGAACUGCGUCUGAUACUGGUUGGCUUGAAUCCGGGAGAGGGAUGUGGAAUUCCAGGUGUAGCGGUGAAAUGCGUAGAUAUCUGGAGGAACACCGGUGGCGAAGGCGGCAUCCUGGACCGGUAUUGACGCUGAGGAGCGAAAGCCAGGGGAGCAAACGGG